CCAAUAGCGUAUAUUAAAGUUGUUGCAGUUAAAAAGCUCGUAGUUGAAUUUCGGGAUCAAUAUGUCGGUCGUGCUUUUGGUACGUACUGGCAUCAUUGGUUUCUCCCUUCUGACAAACCAUGAUGUCAUUAAUUUGGUGUUAUGGGGAGUUAGGACUGUUACUUUGAAAAAAUUAGAGUGUUUAAAGCAGGCAUUAGCUUGAAUACAUUAGCAUGGAAUAAUGAAAUAGGACGUUUGACCCUAUUUUGUUGGUUUCUAGGAUCGACGUAAUGAUUAAUAGGGAUAGUUGGGGGCAUUAGUAUUCAAUUGUCAGAGGUGAAAUUCUUGGAUUUAUUGAAGACUAACUACUGCGAAAGCAUUUACCAAGGAUGUUUUCAUUAAUCAAGAACGAAAGUUAGGGGAUCGAAGACGAUCAGAUACCGUCGUAGUCUUAACCAUAAACUAUGCCGACUAGGGAUCGGAUGAUGUUAAUUUUUUAAUGACUCAUUCGGCGCCUUACG
This 500-nucleotide ribosomal RNA is filed under the name uncultured Glomeromycotina. Its description in RNAcentral is "partial small subunit ribosomal RNA". It matches the Rfam family "Eukaryotic small subunit ribosomal RNA", at positions 591 to 1092 of the family's 1831-position model. The record is from RNAcentral. Lineage: Eukaryota; Fungi; Glomeromycota.